CACUGAGUGGGGAGCCAGCGGUGCCCUGUACUUGCAAUCCGCUACAGCAAGACUGAACGAUUGAUUGCGGUGAAUAAUUCUUUCGGUAUGAGACAUAAAUUUUGUGUUGAAAUCAAGGUCUUAAGCAUUGUUUAACUGUGAACCAUGUCAGGUCCUGACGGAAGCAUCAUUAAGCAGACCUAGACAAGUGAUUUAAGGAAACUUUGGUGGAGCAAAAUCUUAUGGUGGC
This 229-nucleotide signal recognition particle RNA is filed under the name pig gut metagenome. RNAcentral's name for it is "Bacterial large signal recognition particle RNA". It matches the Rfam family "Bacterial large signal recognition particle RNA", at positions 6 to 227 of the family's 256-position model. From Rfam's summary of the family: The signal recognition particle (SRP) is a universally conserved ribonucleoprotein involved in the co-translational targeting of proteins to membranes. Archaeal SRP consists of a 7S RNA and homologues of the eukaryotic SRP19 and SRP54 proteins. In most bacteria, the SRP consists of a 4.5S RNA and the Ffh protein (a homologue of the eukaryotic SRP54 protein). The record is from RNAcentral.